UACGUAGGGGGCAAGCGUUGUCCGGAUUUAUUGGGCGUAAAGAGCGUGUAGGCGGCUAGGUAGGUCCGUUGUGAAAACUCGAGGCUCAACCUCGAGACGUCGAUGGAAACCAUCUAGCUAGAGUGCGGUAGGGGAGACUGGAAUUCCUGGUGUAGCGGUGAAAUGCGCAGAUAUCAGGAGGAACACCGGUGGCGAAGGCGGGUCUCUGGGCCGUAACUGACGCUGAGGAGCGAAAGCGUGGGGAGCGAACAGG
This 253-nucleotide ribosomal RNA is filed under the name uncultured bacterium. RNAcentral describes it as "partial 16S ribosomal RNA". It matches the Rfam family "Bacterial small subunit ribosomal RNA", at positions 524 to 776 of the family's 1533-position model. The record is from RNAcentral.